GACGAACGCUGGCGGCGUGCUUAACACAUGCAAGUCGAGCGGUAAGGCCCUUUCGGGGGUACACGAGCGGCGAACGGGUGAGUAACACGUGGGUGACCUGCCCUCAGCUCUGGGAUAAGCCCGGGAAACUGGGUCUAAUACUGGAUAUGACUCCACGGUGCAUGCCGUGGGGUGGAAAGCCUUGUGCGGCUGAGGAUGGGCCCGCGGCCUAUCAGCUUGUUGGUGGGGUGAUGGCCUACCAAGGCGACGACGGGUAGCCGGCCUGAGAGGGCGACCGGCCACACUGGGACUGAGACACGGCCCAGACUCCUACGGGAGGCAGCAGUGGGGAAUCUUGCGCAAUGGGCGAAAGCCUGACGCAGCGACGCCGCGUGA
RNAcentral lists this ribosomal RNA (375 nucleotides) under uncultured bacterium. Its description in RNAcentral is "bacterial SSU rRNA". It matches the Rfam family "Bacterial small subunit ribosomal RNA", at positions 28 to 404 of the family's 1533-position model. The record is from RNAcentral.